This is a long non-coding RNA of Mustela lutreola (European mink), 665 nucleotides long. RefSeq lists it as uncharacterized. The transcript is spliced from 3 exons. Lineage: Eukaryota; Metazoa; Chordata; Mammalia; Carnivora; Mustelidae. The record is from RefSeq and is a predicted model, not a curated record.
UAGAAGAGAGAAAUCAAAUAACCUUUUAAACAAUCUGGGGGUUAAGGGAUUGUUUGAGCCAUUCAGAUCAAAGAAGUCUCUUUGGGGUGCUUCAGAAGAGGCCCAAUAAAGUUGGUGCUAAGGAGCCUCACAAAGCUAGGUGGCAGCUUACAUAUGAAGAGACCUGCUAAGAGGUUAUGGAAGUGGUUCUACCCAUGUUAUCACCUUGGCAGUCACCACCCCUCAAGUGCAACUUUAAAGAAGCUGACACUGAAGAUUAUUUGGAAGCCAUAACCAAUAGAGCACACCACGUGAGCCCAUUAGGAGACCGGCUCCUUCCCACCUGCCACCUCACGCCAGCCAGCAAUCUCAGCGUCCCCACUCCACUCUUGCUCAUGUAGAGCUAUCCAAUCCUGAGUGGCAGGACUGGCAAAGACAGCUGUUGGGCUCCCCACACAUUUGGAGGAGGGGAAAAUAUGAGGUAGAUGGCUAUAUUCUUCUCCUCCUUUUUACGGAAAGAAACAGCUGCGAUCUUCUUGUGUAAGAAGGAGUAAACAAAAGCUGGCAGGCCUCAGCCCCACGCAGGAGACAGCAGCGUUCAAAUGGAUUUUCCCCACCCACCGGGCGCCAUCCCACAACCCAUGGCUCCAUCCCCCACAGCCCCAUCCCCCACAGCCCGGAGGGGA